CGCAGCCGCGGUAAUUCCAGCUCCAAUAGCGUAUAUUAAAGUUGUUGCAGUUAAAAAGCUCGUAGUUGAAUUUCGGGAUCAAUGUUUCGGUCAUGCCGUUGGUAUGUACUGAUAUUAUUGGUUUCUCACCUUCUAAAGAACCGUAAUGCCAUUAAUUUGGUGUCACGGGGAAUUAGGACUGUUACCUUGAAAAAUUAGAGUGUUUAAAGCAGGCUCACGCUUGAAUACAUUAGCAUGGAAUAAUGAAAUAGGACAUCCGAUUCUAUUUUGUUGGUUUCUAGGAUCGAUGUAAUGAUUAAUAGGGAUAGUUGGGGGCAUUAGUAUUCAAUUGUCAGAGGUGAAAUUCUUGGAUUUAUUGAAGACUAACUACUGCGAAAGCAUUUGCCAAGGAUGUUUUCAUUAAUACAAGAACGAAAGUUAGGGGAUCGAAGACGAUCAGAUACCGUCGUA
This 450-nucleotide ribosomal RNA is filed under the name uncultured Glomeromycotina. RNAcentral describes it as "SSU rRNA". It matches the Rfam family "Eukaryotic small subunit ribosomal RNA", at positions 569 to 1022 of the family's 1831-position model. Lineage: Eukaryota; Fungi; Glomeromycota. The record is from RNAcentral.